Long non-coding RNA from Oreochromis aureus, 1063 nucleotides. RefSeq lists it as uncharacterized. NCBI's taxonomy places the organism in Eukaryota, Metazoa, Chordata, Actinopteri, Cichliformes, Cichlidae. The record is from RefSeq and is a predicted model, not a curated record. The transcript has 3 exons.
GUUGUGUAUAGAGGCAAAAUUGCAAAAAUUGUGUCACUCAUGGAGCUAAUAGGAAACCUUUGAGCAGCUUUCAGUUUGUUGCAUAUCAUUUUGUUUGCUGGUACUAAUAACCAGCCAAUAGCUAGAACUGCCCUGUAUUGUAAGCCUGUUCUCAAUAUCAGCAGCAACUGCUGUGAAUCUUAGAUCAUGCAGAGUCAGGUCUGAACUCAGAGCAAAGCAACAAGUACGGUUUGUAUUCCUUAUUCAAAAACAAACAUUUUACACUAGCUUGUACGGAUAAGUCAGUAUGCUGGUGUUUUAUUUCUCUGAGGGAUUUUAUUGUAGUUCGAGUUUAUCUGUUAACAGCAUCUUAUGACAGCCUUUGUGCUAAAAGAUGUGUCAUAAAAGUCUAGAUGUGGCCCUGCUUGCAUCUGUAGAUUCAAUAAAACCCAAGGAGUAACUGCAUUUUGACUGAGCCCAUUGAUUCAUGUGGCUGCAUGACCCCGAGGAAUCAAGGAUCUCUUGGAUUUACACAAGAGUGUUUUGUGUGUACACACUGUUUGCAUUUGUUAUCAUGGGGGGAAAUUGAUUUUUCCCUAUACCUUUCCUUGACUGCUGCCUGAACAAACAGCACCUGUCUGCUGUAUGCUGCUAUCACAGAUGAUGGAGUUCUGCGCUGUAUUGAUUCGGGCAGUACUUCUGGACUUCACCUUUAUCUUCAUCUCAGGAGAAAGUUUUGAACAGCAUCCCCCCGGGUCACAGUGAUGAUGGCAGGGUGCCAAAGGGAAGACAGCGCCUGUGGUGGAGGAGAGCAGGGAGGAAGGAAAGAAGACUCAGAGCUGGCAUAAUCACCAGGGGCAUUGAGCUAAUGAACACACCGCAGGAGCAAUAACAAUAACAACAGGAGGGAUCAGCUUCUCAACUCCUAACAGGAGGGAAGAGGACCUACUGCACAACUGUCAUUAUGGUCUUUUUCAACAACAGCAGAAACAACAGGAGAGCUGAGCUCCAAUACCAGGCAGGAGGGAAGAGAAUAUAUUCUGUAUAACUGUCGUUAAUUCAUAUUUAGAUGUUAAUUGUUUAA